GAUGAACGCUGGCGGCAUGCCUAACACAUGCAAGUCGAUCGGUAAGGCUCUUCGGAGUACACGAGAGGCGGACGGCUGAGUAACGCGUAGGAACACACCCUGCAGGGAGGGAUAAGACACCGAAAGGUGUUCUAAUACCGCAUACGGUCUUCGGAUUAAAGCAUUUAUGCGCUGAAGGAGUGGCCUGCGUCAUAUUAGAUAGUUGGUGAGGUAAUGGCUCACCAAGUCGAUGAUGUGUAGCUGGUCUGAGAGGAUGAUCAGCCAGACUGGAACUGAGACACGGUCCAGACUCCUACGGGAGGCAGCAGUGAGGAAUAUUUCACAAUGAGCGAAAGCUUGAUGGAGCAAUGCCGCGUGCAGGAUGAAGGCCCUCGGGUUGUAAACUGCUUUUAUAAGAGAAGAUUAUGACGGUAACUUAUGAAUAAGGGACGGCUAACUACGUG
RNAcentral lists this ribosomal RNA (443 nucleotides) under uncultured bacterium. Its description in RNAcentral is "partial 16S ribosomal RNA". It matches the Rfam family "Bacterial small subunit ribosomal RNA", at positions 28 to 507 of the family's 1533-position model. The record is from RNAcentral.